Non-coding RNA from Chiloscyllium plagiosum (whitespotted bambooshark), 73 nucleotides. The record is from the annotation of a RefSeq genome assembly. NCBI's taxonomy places the organism in Eukaryota, Metazoa, Chordata, Chondrichthyes, Orectolobiformes, Hemiscylliidae.
AUUUCUGUAGUGUAAUGGUCAUCACGUUCGCCUUACGCGCGAAAGGUCCCCAGCUCGAAACUGGGCAGAAACU